AGUCGAACGGCAGCACGGACUUCGGUCUGGUGGCGAGUGGCGAACGGGUGAGUAAUGUAUCGGAACGUGCCUAUAGCGGGGAUAACUACGCGAAAGCGUAGCUAAUACCGCACGCCCUUCGGGGGAAAGCGGGGACCUUCGCCUCGCACUAUUAGAGCGGCCGAUAUCGGAUUAGCUAGUUGGUGGGGUAACGGCUCACCAGCACGAUCCGUAGCUGGUUUGAGAGAGGACGACCAGCCACACUGGGACUGGUACACGGCCCACUCCUACGGGAGGCAGCAGUGGGGAAUUUGGACAAUGGGGGAAACCCUGAUCCAGCCAUCCCGCGUGUGCGAUGAAGGCCUCGGGUUGUAAAGCACUUUUGGCAGGAAAGAAACGGCACGGGAUAAUACCCCGUGCAACUGACGGUACCUGCAGAAUAAGCACUGACCACGCCAGCAGCCGCGGUAAUACGUAGGGUGCAAGCGUUAAUCGGAAUUACUGGGCGUAAAGCGUGCGCAGGCGGUUCGGAAAGAAAGAUGUGAAAUCCCAGAGCUUAACUUUGGAACUGUGAUUUUUAACUACUGAGCUAGAGUGUGUCAGAGGGAGGUGGAAUUCCGCGUAGCAGUGAAAUGCGUAGAUAUGCGGAGGAACACCGAUGGCGAAGGCAGCCUCCUGGGAUAACACUGACGCUCAUGCACGAAAGCGUGGGAGCAAACAGGAUUAGAUAUCCCCAAGAGUCCAUCGCCUUAACGAUGUUGACCCAGCUGUUAGGCCUUCGGGCCGGAUGGCCAGCGCUGACGCAAAUGACUGUCAGAGUAUCGGGCCUUAGGUGAUUAAACUCAGUGAACGACGGACCCGUUAUGUAGUGAUGAUGGAUUAAUUCGAUGCAACGCGAAAAAACCUUACCUACCCUUGACAUGUCUGAAUCCUGAACAGAUUUUGGGAGUGCUCGCAAGAGAACCGGGAACACAGGUGCUGCAUGGCUGUCGUCAGCUCGUGUCGAGAUGUUGGGUUAAGUCCUGCAAACGAGCGCAACCCUUGUCAUUAGUUGCUACGAAAGGGCACUCUAAUGAGACUGCCGGUGACAAACCGGAGGAAGCGUGGGGAUGACGUCAAGUCCUCAUGGCCCUUAUGGGUAGGACUCCACACGUCAUACAAUGGUCGGGACAGAGGGUCGCCAACCCGCGAGGGGGGAGCCAAUCCCAGAAACCCCGAUCGUAGUCCGGAUCGCAGUCUGCAACUCGACUGCGUGAAGUCGGACCGCUAGGUAAUCGCGGAUCAGCAUGUCGCGGUGAAUACGUUCCCGGGUCUUGUACACACCGCCCGUCACACCAUGGGAGUGGGUUUUACCAGAAGUAGUUAGCCUAACCGUAAGGAGGGCGAUUACCACGGUAGGAUUCAUGACUGUGCGAAGUCGUAACAAGGUAG
Molecule: ribosomal RNA, 1410 nt
Filed under: uncultured Bordetella sp.
Lineage: Bacteria; Pseudomonadati; Pseudomonadota; Betaproteobacteria; Burkholderiales; Alcaligenaceae
Description: partial 16S-23S ribosomal RNA intergenic spacer
Rfam family: Bacterial small subunit ribosomal RNA
Source: RNAcentral